CAAAGAGGACGAAAGAAAAUUGUCUUAGAUUAUGGAUAAAAACGACAUUUCUACUUAUAUCCAAAAUGAACAUACUACACCAUUUACUGAUCAAACCUUUAAGAUAACAACCAAAUCUGACUGUGAACGCAGCAGUGAACACAACACCCUGUUACCAAACUCCAUACAAUUAUCGGAAGAAUCCCACAGAGUACUCAUAUCGUGUGAUGAAAUUGUCCCCAGUGGAACGAAUACAAAACCUUUUACUAACACAAACUCUCACAUCAAUUCAACUAGUUCAGAGGUACACAGAAUUGUUGAUACAUCCCAAAACGCGUCUGCUAUACAGCCAGAAAAGAUAAGUUUGAUCGACAAUUCUGAAAAGGAGACAGACAAAAAUGUACAAUCUUCGAUGAAACACAAAAUAUCAAAACAAUUUAAAAAAAUUUCUCCUCAUAUUUUACAACUAGUUAUUAUUGGACUAGUAUGUUACUUCAUAUGCAACAAAAAUUGUGCAAGUCAUGUGUCAAAACAGGAAUCGACGUUUGUCAAUCUAAAUGUCAACUUUGAUUUAUAUAGUGUUGAAACUACAUCUGGGAAAAUUCCAUGGAGACCCAUCGACGCAACUUUCGUUGUAUUAGAAGGGAAUGGCACAACGAUUUGCGUGCUUCAACCUGCAUCGUAUUCAAUCGAUGUAACGUUUAAUUUGGAUAACAGACGAAAUAAAUAUCCAGUCACUCUAUCUGUGUGUAUUUUGAACAGCAGAGACAGGAAGGGAAACCGGUAUAUCCCUGAAGUUCUUCCAGCACACAUGCAGAGGUCUGUGACGGCUAAUGUUAAUCUAAACUUGCAGAAAGGCGAUACAAUCUAGGUCAAUGUUAAAGGAUUAAAUCUUGUCGAUCAACGUCUUGAUGUUAACAGCAUGUCGAUAAGAAAAUAUGACACA
Mytilus californianus (California mussel) is the source of this 925-nucleotide long non-coding RNA. RefSeq lists it as uncharacterized. The record is from RefSeq and is a predicted model, not a curated record. NCBI's taxonomy places the organism in Eukaryota, Metazoa, Mollusca, Bivalvia, Mytilida, Mytilidae. The transcript has 2 exons.